GGGCCCGCACAAGCGGUGGAGUAUGUGGUUUAAUUCGAUGCAACGCGAAGAACCUUACCAGGGUUUGACAUCCUGCGAAUCUCUUGGAAACGAGAGAGUGCCUUCGGGAACGCAGUGACAGGUGGUGCAUGGCUGUCGUCAGCUCGUGUCGUGAGAUGUUGGGUUAAGUCCCGCAACGAGCGCAACCCACGUCGUUAGUUGCCAGCAUUUAGUUGGGCACUCUAGCGAGACCGCCGGUGAUAAACCGGAGGAAGGUGUGGAUGACGUCAAGUCAUCAUGCCCCUUACAUCCUGGGCUACACACGUACUACAAUGCUACGGACAAAGGGCUGCAAGUUCGCGAGGACAAG
RNAcentral lists this ribosomal RNA (349 nucleotides) under uncultured bacterium. Its description in RNAcentral is "bacterial SSU rRNA". It matches the Rfam family "Bacterial small subunit ribosomal RNA", at positions 917 to 1267 of the family's 1533-position model. The record is from RNAcentral.